CAUCUUUUCAGCUGUCUUCAGCGCAUAACGAGCCGUGCAGUUGUGAAAGGACACUAUAAAUAGCUCCUGCUGGUUCAGAGAGAAUCUGAGCCUCCGGGGAAAAUGCAUUUAGACGAAUCACAUCUUACGCUCGCGGAGGAAACAAUGACGGGAAUGUUUUAAAUGGCCUCAACCUUUGUAAGAAUGAGUAAACACCUAGAAAAACUGGCGGCGCUCGCAAACGCUGACACCGGAGUGAAAUAUGGGCGCUUCAGGGUUUGUCGCAGUUAAGAAUCAGUGGAAAAUACCAAAUUAUGCUGCACUAAGGCGAAGCCGUGGCCGUGAAUUAUUGACAUUUUAGGUGGUGUGACGUCUUUUUAAUGGCAUUUUAAGAUCACUCGCUCGUGACUGUUUAUAUGUGAGAGCAUUCUGAACGGCUCAGUGUCUCAGACGCGGCCGCGCAGGUUCAUGGAAUCAAGUGGGCGUCCUCAGACUACGCUCCUACGCACCACCGAAGAAGAACGUCUCGUGCUGUGACGUCACACCGACCCGCGGCGGUUGCAGACAAGAGGGGCCCGCGUCGACGCUCACAGCGGCUGUGAGCACAAGCAGCGGCGAGGUCGCUGCCCCGGAGACCGCGGGAGCGAGCGCGGCACGGCGUGUUCCUCCGCGGGGCCAGAGAUCAGGACGCGCCGGUCCGCGCGCUUGUACUCGGCGGCGGACGCCGAGGACCGGGAGCCGGUGACAUCACACGGGGCCGCUCGCGGUGACUCACACACGGAUGGCCUUUGUCGACCCCUCUUGGAAGGGCCCAUUUCACCCUGCAGGCCAGUCAGCAGCUCCACUGGAGCAGCUAAGGCUCUUUAGCAACAUGUCAGGAAGCUGCAGUGAAGCUAAGAAAGCUGACCAGAGGAGUCGGUGAGUGAAGCUCGAAAAAAGUCCAAUGUUCAUUUUCCAAAUCAGAGCUUAGGUUUUGUUUAUGUUUUACAAAAAGGGGGGGAAGGCUACGUGUCAUUUUCUAUCUAGACGAGUAGCACUCUAGGUUUUGGAAAUCCAUUUUCAAGAGGCAUUUCUCAAUUUCCUCCCAUUCAAAGUGUGUUGAAUGGGAGAAAAUGUGUCUUUUACAUAAAAUUGCUCAGUGGAUAUAACGUAUUGGUAAAACAUAAAAAAGCAUAUAUCAAACUGGAGCUCUAUUUCAGAGGCAAACUGGCCUCAGCACACAACAGCCCCAGAAUGGGCUGGAUGAAACAGUCCUAUCAGUCACUUGUCUUGGCAGCGCGGCACUGAACAAGCAUAAUAAGAAGAGCAUUAAUACGCCGGUGCACAGAACGAAGCUGAGCAUCAAACACAACACCUUCCACCCGCCUCCGUGCUGGACUGAUGCAACGCCGAGCAGUUGUGUGUUCAGCUCCCAAACAGCCCCAGCCUCUGUCUUGCUCUAUUAGCGCAGUGAGCCCUGCACACCGGCUCAGGUUUAUGAGUGCGAUUUAGCAGUUUUACAAGCGCAUAGACUUUUGAUGAUGGUUUUGAUGAUGGCCGGUGUCCUCUGUCUGGCCUUGAACGUGUACUCCAGCUUUUAAAGAGAUAAUUCAACUAGUUAUUU
This 1582-nucleotide long non-coding RNA is filed under the name Betta splendens (Siamese fighting fish). RNAcentral describes it as "lncRNA (ENSBSLG00000019359.1)". The record is from RNAcentral. Lineage: Eukaryota; Metazoa; Chordata; Actinopteri; Anabantiformes; Osphronemidae.